Molecule: long non-coding RNA, 678 nt
Organism: Mustela erminea (ermine)
Lineage: Eukaryota; Metazoa; Chordata; Mammalia; Carnivora; Mustelidae
Exons: 2
Source: RefSeq, a predicted model, not a curated record
GUGCUUUCUUUGGCUUUUGACUUCCAACACCUUUGGUGCAUUUAAUUUGAAUCCUACUUCCAUUAUCAUUGUUGAAAUAUGUCUCCUGAUACUGCUGUGUUUCAUGAUUCAGUGGUGCCAUUGUUCCCUUAGACUGCUCUGGGCACCUUCAAUUUUUCUAGGCGUUUCCCUGUGCAAAUGAUUACUAGUAUCCCACCAGUGACAUAUGGAAUCUUAUGCACUUUCCACUGGGUGUAGUCGCAUAUCCAGCUUCUGUGUGGCUGUGGAAUCCUUAGUACUCAGGAAGAGCUCCAAUACCUGUACUGGUUGGCUUUGAUGAUCUUAGCAACCUUUCUUUCUGUAUUUGGAAUCCUAAUUCCAGUAAUGUCCUUGAAAUGUGUCUUCUGAAUUUCACAUCUUGCCCUCUUGUCAUGAGCUGAUUCCUCCUUGCUUGCCCGAUCGGGGAUAUUUCUGAUGCUUUUCUUGUAAGUGGAUCAUCACAACCAAAUAGUGUGGUUUGACAUACUGAGAUCCUGACGGCGAGUGAUGAAGAGAAUAGUUUUCUCAAACGUCAGCACCGAGGGAGUCCUUGGAGGGCUUCUUGAAGAACUGCACUGCCUCCACUCUUCUUUCCAAGCCUCACCGAAUGGGGAAUGCAGAAGAGUGUGACCCUCUAGCAAGAAAAAGGAACCAAGGCUC